RNAcentral lists this ribosomal RNA (513 nucleotides) under uncultured bacterium. Its description in RNAcentral is "bacterial SSU rRNA". It matches the Rfam family "Bacterial small subunit ribosomal RNA", at positions 18 to 518 of the family's 1533-position model. The record is from RNAcentral.
CCUGGCUCAGGAUGACGCUGGCGGCGUGCCUAACACAUGCAAGUCGAACGGAGUUAGCGCUGAUGAAGCUCGGCAGAAUCUUGUAAACUUAGUGGCGGACGGGUGAGUAACGCGUGGGUAACCUGCCUCAUACAGGGGGAUAGCAGUUGGAAACGACUGAUAACACCGCAUAAGCGCACGGUAUCGCAUGAUACAGGGUGAAAAUAUUUAUAGGUAUGAGAUGGACCCGCGUCUGAUUAGCUAGUUGGUGAGGUAACGGCCCACCAAGGCGACGAUCAGUAGCCGGCCUGAGAGGGCGGACGGCCACAUUGGGACUGAGACACGGCCCAAACUCCUACGGGAGGCAGCAGUGGGGGAUAUUGCACAAUGGGCGAAAGCCUGAUGCAGCGACGCCCGCGUGAGUGAAGAAGUAUUUCGGUAUGUAAAGCUCUAUCAGCAGGGAAGAAAGACCUCGUAAGAGGGGAUGACGGUACCUGAGUAAGAAGCCCCGGCUAACUACGUGCCAGCCGCCGC